This 447-nucleotide ribosomal RNA is filed under the name uncultured bacterium. Its description in RNAcentral is "partial 16S ribosomal RNA". It matches the Rfam family "Bacterial small subunit ribosomal RNA", at positions 29 to 523 of the family's 1533-position model. The record is from RNAcentral.
AGCGAACGCUGGCGGCAGGCUUAACACAUGCAAGUCGAGCGCCCCGCAAGGGGAGCGGCAGACGGGUGAGUAACACGUGGGAACGUACCUUUUGGUUCGGAACAACCCAGGGAAACUUGGGCUAAUACCGGAUAAGCCCUUACGGGGGAAGAUUUAUCGCCAAAAGAUCGGACCGCGUCUGAUUAGCUAGUUGGUGGGGUAAUGGCCCACCAAGGCUACGAUCAGUAGCUGGUCUGAGAGGAUGAUCAGCCACAUUGGGACUGAGACACGGCCCAAACUCCUACGGGAGGCAGCAGUGGGGAAUAUUGGACAAUGGGGGAAACCCUGAUCCAGCCAUGCCGCGUGAGUGAUGAAGGCCUUAGGGUUGUAAAGCUCUUUUAGCAGGGAAGAUAAUGACGGUACCUGCAGAAAAAGCCCCGGCUAACUUCGUGCCAGCCGCCGCAGUAA